UGAGGAAUAUUGGUCAAUGGACGGGAGUCUGAACCAGCCAAGUAGCGUGAAGGAUGACUGCCCUAUGGGUUGUAAACUUCUUUUAUACGGGAAUAAAGUGAUCCACGUGUGGAUUUUUGUAUGUACCGUAUGAAUAAGGAUCGGCUAACUCCGUGCCAGCAGCCGCGGUAAUACGGAGGAUCCGAGCGUUAUCCGGAUUUAUUGGGUUUAAAGGGAGCGUAGGUGGAUUGUUAAGUCAGUUGUGAAAGUUUGCGGCUCAACCGUAAAAUUGCAGUUGAUACUGGCAGUCUUGAGUACAGUAGAGGUGGGCGGAAUUCGUGGUGUAGCGGUGAAAUGCUUAGAUAUCACGAAGAACUCCGAUUGCGAAGGCAGCUCACUGGACUGCAACUGACACUGAUGCUCGAAAGUGUGGGUAUCAAACAGGAUUAGAUACCCUGGUAGUCCACACAGUAAACGAUGAAUACUCGCUGUUUGCGAUAUACGGUAAGCGGCCAAGCGAAAGCGUUAAGUAUUCCACCUGGGGAGUACGCCGGCAACGGUGAAACUCAAAGGAAUUGACGGGGGCCCGCACAAGCGGAGGAACAUGUGGUUUAAUUCGAUGAUACGCGAGGAACCUUACCCGGGCUUAAAUUACAUUUGAAUAAUCUGGAAACAGUUUAGCCGUAAGGCAAAUGUGAAGGUGCUGCAUGGUUGUCGUCAGCUCGUGCCGUGAGGUGUCGGCUUAAGUGCCAUAACGAGCGCAACCCUUAUCUUCAGUUACUAACAGGUCAUGCUGAGGACUCUGGAGAGACUGCCGUCGUAAGAUGUGAGGAAGGUGGGGAUGACGUCAAAUCAGCACGGCCCUUACGUCCGGGGCUACACACGUGUUACAAUGGGGGGUACAGAAGGCAGCUACCUGGUGACAGGAUGCUAAUCCCAAAAACCUCUCUCAGUUCGGAUCGAAGUCUGCAACCCGACUUCGUGAAGCUGGAUUCGCUAGUAAUCGCGCAUCAGCCAUGGCGCGGUGAAUACGUUCCC
RNAcentral lists this ribosomal RNA (1017 nucleotides) under uncultured bacterium. RNAcentral describes it as "bacterial SSU rRNA". It matches the Rfam family "Bacterial small subunit ribosomal RNA", at positions 355 to 1375 of the family's 1533-position model. The record is from RNAcentral.